GCCGGGCGUGGUGGCAGCACGCCUGUAAUCUAAGAUACUUGGGAGGCUGAGGCAGGAGAAUCGCUUGAACCUGGGAGGCAGAGGUUGCAGUGAGCCGAGAUCGCGCCAUUGAACUCCAGCCUGGGUNNNNNNNNNNUUUUUUAGAUAGUCUUGCAGUGUCGCCCAGGCUGGAGUGCAGUGGUAGAUCUUGGCUCACUGUAACCUCUGCCUCCUGGGUUCAAGUGAUUCUCCUGCCUCAG
Molecule: signal recognition particle RNA, 239 nt
Filed under: Chlorocebus sabaeus (green monkey)
Lineage: Eukaryota; Metazoa; Chordata; Mammalia; Primates; Cercopithecidae
Description: Metazoan signal recognition particle RNA
Rfam family: Metazoan signal recognition particle RNA
About the family: The signal recognition particle (SRP) is a universally conserved ribonucleoprotein. It is involved in the co-translational targeting of proteins to membranes.
Source: Rfam by way of RNAcentral